GAAAUGCGAUAAGUAAUGUGAAUUGCAGAAUUCAGUGAAUCAUCGAAUCUUUGAACGCACCUUGCGCUCCUUGGUAUUCCUUGGAGCAUGCCUGUUUGAGUAUCAUGAAAUCUUCAAAGUAAAUCUUUUGUUAACUCAAUUGGUUUCUACUUUGGUAUUGGAGGUCUUUGCAGCUUCACACCUGCUCCUCUUUGUUCAUUAGCUGGAUCUCAGUGUUAUGCUUGGUUCCACUCGGCGUGAUAAGUUAUCUAUCGCUGAGGACACUGUAAAAGGUGGCCAAGGUAAAUGCAGAUGACACGCUUCUAAUAGUCCAUUGACUUGGACAAUACUUUUAUGAUCUGAUCUCAAAUCAGGUAGGACUACCCGCUGAACUUAAGC
This 378-nucleotide unclassified non-coding RNA is filed under the name plant metagenome. Its description in RNAcentral is "partial contains 5.8S ribosomal RNA, internal transcribed spacer 2, and large subunit ribosomal RNA". The stretch from base 1 to 105 matches the Rfam family "5.8S ribosomal RNA", at positions 50 to 154 of the family's 154-position model. The record is from RNAcentral.